CCGCACCCAGCCUGUUUUUUGAAUAUUUUUGAUCAACUGGUUUGCUGAACGCAUGGAUGUGGAACCCACGGAUAGAGAGCUGACUGUAGCCAUUGUGUAACUGGAGUGAGAUGAUAUCUCAUUGUGGUUUUGAUUUGCAUUUCCUUGAUAAUUAGUGAUGUUGAACAUUUUUUCAUAUACUGGUUGACCAUUUAUAUGUCUUUUGAAAAGUGUCUCUUUAGGUCUUUUACUCAUUUUUAAUUGGAUUAUUUUCUUCUAUUUAGUGGCUUGAAUUCUUUAUAUAUUCCACAUAUUAACCUCUUGUUAGAUGUAUAAUUUGCAAAUAUUUUCUCCCAUUCUGUAGGUUGUCUCUGCAGUCUGUUGAUUGUUUCCUUUGAUGUGCAGAAGCUUCUUAGUUUGAUGUAAUCUAUAUAUUUUUGCUUUUGCUUUCUGUAUUUUUGAGAGCUUUUCCAAAAAAUUCUUACUGAGACCAAUUGUGACGAGGCAUUUCUCCUAUGUUUUCUUCUAGUAGUUUCAUAGUUUCCGAUCUUACGUUUAACUCUUUAAUCCUUUUUGAGUUGAUUUUUGUAUAUGAUGAAAGGUAAGGGCUAGUGUUACUCCUCUUCAUGUGGAUAUGCAGUUUUCCCAACACCAUUUAUUGAAGAGACUGUCCUUUCUCCAAUGUGUGUUCUUGGCACCUUUGUCAAAAAUCAGUUAGCUGUAGAAGCGUGGUUUUAUUUCUGGGCUUUCCAUUAAUUUUAGCAACCUUAAAUCUAUUGUAUACAAGAUCAGUAAGGUCAUAGUGUUUAAUUACCACAAUAUUUGUGAUAGAAUUCAGCCUCCUACAAUCAACAUAAUAUUCGUCUUUAGAUGAACAAACACUUCUCAGCAACACACAUUUUAACAAAUGUAGUAUUCUAAUACAAACACACUUAAUUGAAAGGUUAUAUAGUUUUACAGACUCUUGGAAGAUAACUAUCACAGCAAACAGAAAAGGUCUUUGCCUUUUUUUUUUUUGAGACAGAAUCUCGCUCUGUCCCCCAGGCUAGAAUGCAGUGGCACGGUCUCGGCUCACUGCAACCUCCGCCUCCUGGGUUCAAGCGAUUCUCCUGCCUCAGCCUCCUGAGUAGCUGGGACUACAGGCACGUGUCACAACACCCAGCUAAUUUUUGUAUUUUUAGUAGAGACAGGGUUUCACCAUAUUGGCCAGGCUGGUCUCGAACUCCUGACCUUGUGAUCCGCCCGCCUCAGCCUCCCAAAGUGCUGAGAUUACAGACGUGAGCCACUGUGCUCGGCCAGCUCUUUGCCUUUUUAAAGAAACAGACCUCUAAGGAAACCUAAUUAUACUGUAAGAGGAAAAUGAGUAAGUAUAGAUUUAAAUUAUAUUCUACGGUAAAUAAUAGAUAAAUAUUCUCUAACCUUCUCCUUUUUGUUUCCAAGCAAAGGGUAAUGGCUAACUCAGUGCUUUGCAGUCUUAACAUUUUUAUAUAAACAAUUUUUUAAAUCUAAAGUUUCUCAUUAAAUCUCAUUGAAAACUUGUGGUGUAUGGUUUAAACUAUAGUUAUUUAUUUAUUUAUUUGAGACCAAGUCUUGCUCUAGCACCAGGCUGGAGUGCAAUGUAGCAAUCUCGGCUCACUUCAACCUCCACCUCCUGGGUUCAAGUGUUUCUCCUGUCUCAGCCUCCUGAGUAGCUGGGACUACAGGCACUGGCCACCAUGCCCAGCUAAUUUUUGUAUUUUUAGUAGAGACAGGGUUUCACCAUGUUGGCUAGGAUGGUCUCGAUGUCUUGACCUAGUGAUCCGCCCACCUCGGCCUCCCAAAGUGCUAGGAUUACAGGCAUGAGCCACCGCGCUUGGCCAGUUUAAACUAUAGUUCUAACCAACGCUGAAUCAAAGUAUUCAGUAAUUUACUAGAACUUACAGUAAUUUUAUUUCAUAACUUAAGCUCAAUAAAGUUAGAGAUGGAGACUGUUGUGUUUAUUAAAUUAAAUCUUUAGUCUCUAGCACAGUAAAGAUAUUCAAUUAAAUAUUUGUUGAAGAAAUAGAAUGAAUGCAUGCAUGCAUAAAUUAAUGAAUCUUUAGUGUUCAGAUUUUCGUUGGUUGAAGUAUGUGUUAUAAAGAAUGUGGCAUUCUGUUGUAUCAGCCUUUUGCCAACAGAAAUUUGAUCUUUAGAAGUUAUUUAUUAUACAAGGAAUUUGUAAUUGGAACAUUGCUCUUAACAAUUCAGAAAACAGGAAGAAUGUACAGUCAUUUGCAGAUUUGGAGUCUGAAUCAAUUUUAUCUUUAUAUAUUUUACUCUGCCCUCUGCAAGCAGAUUAAUGAAAAUAGCAUGUAACUAAACUUAUUUUUCAAAAUAUUUUAUGUAUUGGAAAAUAGUACUUCUGUAAAUCUGUUUCAUUGUAAGUAAAGGAAACUGCAGUUAAUGAGAAUGAGAAUGAGAGAUGAGAGAGGGCGUAUUUCUACUCACUAAUUGAUUCUUACAGAAUUAUCCCCAUUCAAAGUUAAAUAAUUGAAAUAAAAAAGAUCAGAAGAUUAUAGUACAUUAGGAAUGAUAUUAUUGUUUCCUCAGGUCUUUUACUGUGAAGAGACAAUUGUUGGCCAGUAAAAGAGUUGCCAAUUUGUAUAAGAUUCUAUUGAAAAAUGUUAAAGGAUAUCCUAAGUAAAGAGAAGUCCUUGAAUCUCACAAUUGCAGAAGACACAACUCCUCCUGCAACAUAUUCUAUUACUUAAAUGAUAUUGGAAAUGUGAAUCUUCAGUGAUCAAGAUUGAUUUAAAUGAAAUACACGUUAAGGUCUAGGAUGGUGCAACUGAAGUGGCUGAAAAUUUUCCAGCUAUAGCAGCUAUUCACAUAAAAAGAGCCAUGAGUGUCAUAUAAACACCUGUUUGUAAAUAUAGCCAUCCUAGUCAUACUCUGUAGCAAUUAACUCUAGAAGAAAUUAUUCCAUUUGUGUUUUUGUGUACUGUAUUUAAAUAGGGCAAAGAGUGAGCCUGUUUGCUCAUACUUUAUUCCCAAUCUCUAGUUGAGUAUCUGGCAUUUAGAGAGGUUUAAUAAAUGUUUGUGGAAAGAAUGAGCCGUGUUCAUUCUUUGGAUCUGACAACAAUGAGGUUUGAUAGGAAGUGACAGAACUUAAUUCUGCCAGUUCUUUGAAUAAUGCUGUUUAUGCAGCUUUGAAGAGAGAUUAUUGAAAUAUUGUAAGUUAUAUUGAGCAAGUCUGUGGCUAGUAAAUCAAACAGUUUGCUAACAUUGGUUUUACAUUUGAAAUUAUCUGUGGUUUAAACAAUUUAUUUUAAUCAGGGGCUGUUUUAUUAUAAGAAACCCACUGGAACUAACAUAAAUUGAAGAAUUUAUUUGUCUUUGUAAGGAAUCAAGUAAAGCCUAUGAUGCCCAAGGGCAGAAAGGACAGCCAGGUUCUCAGGGACUAGAACCGGGAACUGGAAGGCUGGUAGACAUAGUCGCCAGUCAGCAUCUGUGUCCAUGUUUGUGUCUUUCUCCUGCAACAUAUUCUAUUGUCACUGUAUUCUAACCGCCCCUCCACCCCAACCAACCCCCGACUUCUGUUUCUCCCCACAUUGGGUAGAAAUGACUUCCUGAGCCCCUACAUGAGGACUCAAUUCAAGGCCACCAGAGAGGUUGUCAUUGAGUUUAAAUUCCUGGGAGAGAGGAUCUGAUUGGCAGCUUGGGCCAAGUGACCACUUGUGAUCAAGUUAUAUGGCCAGGAUUUCUGGGUCAUGUAUUAUCAACCUGAUUAGUAGAGGUUAGUUUUAACACAAGAUAAGAUAAGCAUAGCCUGGCAGAUACCCAGAAAGGUAUCUAUUACCCUGUUUCAGGAAUUCUUUCUAAAGAAUUUCCAAAUGAAAAUGUAGACAUUUUUUUGUCUUUAACAAUAGAGCAGCCAGGCGCGGUGGCUCACGCCUGUAAUCCCAGAACUUUGGGAGGUCGAGGCGGGCAGAUCACAAGGUCAGGAGUUGCCUGGCCAACAUAGUGAAACCCUGCCUCUACUAAAAAUACAAAAGAUUAGCUGGGUGUGGUGGCGGGUGCCUGUAAUCCUAGCUUCUCAGGAGGCUCAGUCAGGAGAAUCACUUGAACCUGGGAGGCGGAGGUUGCAGCUAGCCGAGAUCGCGGCACUGCACACCAGCCUGGGUGACAGUGCAAGACUCCGUCUCAAAAAAAAAAAAAGAGCAAUAUAGUUGUUUAUCAUCUGAGAGGAAUGAUGGAUAUUUCAAAGCUGUUUGUGACAGAGUGAAGAAGUCAUGUCAAGAAAUACCCAAAGGUUUUGAAGUUGAUACACUUUUCCUUUCAGAGGAAAAAGUCAGAAAAAAAUCAAUUGUGAUACGAAUAAUAUAUUAUCUUCUAUGUCCUCAGAGAAGCAGUGUAAAAUUACUGUUCAUUUUUAAGGAUUCCAUACUAUAUCACUAAAUUUAAAUAUAUAUUUUUUGAGAAUGAUUAAAACAAAAUGAGAACAGUUUCAGAACUGUUACUUAAAUGGAAUGUACCAUUUAAUUAAAUAGUGGCCAAACAGAUGCAUAGAUUUUUACAGAAACAUUGCACAUAAUGUUCUGGAGCUUCUACUUUAAUGAAUCUACCUGAAAUUCAACUUCAUUUUUGAUCUAUGUCUCCUUGAGUGCUUUGGCUGCUGCUUUUGUGUGUGUGUGUGCUUGUGUGUGUUUUAACACAGUGCUUCCCCAUCUCCGAUCUAUUACAUAUUAAUUUGUUCUAGCUAAUCAGCUUAAUAAACUGAGAAUGCUGCUCAUUACUUAUGUAGCACAAUGCAGAGACACUGUGGGGCUUGGCAUGGAUGACUGUCAAACAGAAACUGAUAACCAAACUGAUGGCGCCUGGAGGACCCAGUGGUGUUGCGAAGUUUGUUGUUGCAUCAGCUGAAAUAGAUAUUGAGACUUUAUUGAUUUAUCUCAUCUAUAAGAAUUUUGCACUUUCUUUGCUUUGUUAUACCGUGCUAUUAUUUUAUUUUAUUUUAUUUAUUUUUUUGAGACAGGGUCUCGCCAUGUCACCCAGCCUGGAGCACAGUGGCGCGAUCACAACUCACAGCAACCUCUGCCUCCCUGGCUCAAGCAAUCCCUCCACCUCAGCCUCCCAGAUAUCUGUAUUUUAGUGGACUGAAUCUCUCAGCCUGGCAUUCAAGGCCAGUCACAGUGUGACAUUCCAGCCUCCCAGUUAGAGCUCAGCUAACAACAAGCCAAGUCAGAAAGCUGCUCUGCAAGACUGAUUUGCCCAUUAUACUUCCCAAAUACCCUGCCUUCCUUUCCUGCUUCUGCUUUUGCCACACUGUUUUGGCUUUAGCAGGACAAACCAAGGAAUAAUAAAAUAGCCUGUCUUGUGA
Homo sapiens (human) is the source of this 5317-nucleotide long non-coding RNA. RefSeq lists it as uncharacterized. The record is from RefSeq and is a predicted model, not a curated record. The transcript has 2 exons. Lineage: Eukaryota; Metazoa; Chordata; Mammalia; Primates; Hominidae.